UCCUACGGGGGGCAGCAGUGAGGAAUAUUGGUCAAUGGGAGAGAUCCUGAACCAGCCAAGCCGCGUGAGGGAAGACGGCCCUAUGGGUUGUAAACCUCUUUUGUCGGAGAACAAAACCCGGGACGUGUCCCGGACUGCGUGUAUCCGAAGAAAAAGCAUCGGCUAACUCCGUGCCAGCAGCCGCGGUAAUACGGAGGAUGCGAGCGUUAUCCGGAUUUAUUGGGUUUAAAGGGUGCGUAGGCGGUUUGAUAAGUUAGAGGUGAAAUAC
RNAcentral lists this ribosomal RNA (268 nucleotides) under uncultured bacterium. RNAcentral describes it as "partial 16S ribosomal RNA". It matches the Rfam family "Bacterial small subunit ribosomal RNA", at positions 337 to 602 of the family's 1533-position model. The record is from RNAcentral.